RNAcentral lists this long non-coding RNA (560 nucleotides) under Nicotiana benthamiana. RNAcentral's name for it is "long non-coding RNA (NBEN_LNC008682)". The record is from RNAcentral. Lineage: Eukaryota; Viridiplantae; Streptophyta; Magnoliopsida; Solanales; Solanaceae.
GCCUCUACUCUGCUGAACCUGGCCCCUAGAUGUAGCACUGCUGAAACUACCUGGUCCACGAGCCCUCUUGGCCUCCCUCUCCUCUCUCUCCUGACGAUGAUCUGACUCAAUGUCUCUAGCAAUGUCAACAACAUCCUCACAUGUAUGACUCAGAACCCUCUCUCGCGCCAUCAGAAUACGGAUGGGAUAAACGAGUCCGUCCACAAAUCUCCUAAUCCUAUCCCGAUCCGUUGGGACCAUCCAUGGAGCAUAAUGAGCCAAUUAUGAGAACCUCAUCUCAUACUGCGUCACUGUCAUAUCACCCUGACGAAGGUACUCAAACUAUCUCCGCAGCUCCUCCCUCUGGGACUGCGGUACCCACUUCUCCAAAAAGAGAGCGGAGAACUCCUGCCACGAUAAGGGCGAUGCACCCACCGGCCUACGCCGCUCAUACUCCUCCCACCAAUUGAAAGCUGCACCCGAGAACUGAAAUGUAGUAAAAGAAACACCACUAGACUCCAAGAUCCAUGCGGUCUGAAGCAUACGUCUACACUUGUCCAGAAAUCCCUGGGCAUCCUAGC